This 67-nucleotide transfer RNA is filed under the name Marmota monax (woodchuck). Its description in RNAcentral is "tRNA.Thr". The record is from RNAcentral. Lineage: Eukaryota; Metazoa; Chordata; Mammalia; Rodentia; Sciuridae.
GGAUUGUGGCUCAGCGGUAGAGCGCUCGCCUAGUGCGCGCGGGACCCGGGUUCAGUUUCCUGCACCA